CCUACGGGUGGCAGCAGUGAGGAAUAUUGGUCAAUGGGCUUACGCCUGAACCAGCCAAGUCGCGUGAGGGAAGACUGCCCUAUGGGUUGUAAACCUCUUUUGUCAGGGAGCAACGCCGGCUACGUGUAGCCGGACUGAGAGUACCUGAAGAAAAAGCAUCGGCUAACUCCGUGCCAGCAGCCGCGGUAAUACGGAGGAUGCGAGCGUUAUCCGGAUUUAUUGGGUUUAAAGGGUGCGUAGGCGGACUGGAAAGUCAGCGGUAAAAUCGAGAGGCUCAACCUCUUUCCGCCGUUGAAACUGUCGGUCUUGAGUGGGCGAGAAGUAUGCGGAAGGCGUGGUGUAGCGGUGAAAUGCAUAGAUAUCACGCAGAACUCCGAUUGCGAAGGCAGCAUACCGGCGCCCGACUGACGCUGAGGCACGAAAGCGUGGGUAUCGAACAGGAUUAGAUACCCGGGUAGUC
This 460-nucleotide ribosomal RNA is filed under the name uncultured bacterium. RNAcentral's name for it is "partial 16S ribosomal RNA". It matches the Rfam family "Bacterial small subunit ribosomal RNA", at positions 338 to 795 of the family's 1533-position model. The record is from RNAcentral.